GAGAACCAGAUCACAGAGCCAGAACAAGUGACCACAGAGGCUUCGACAACAUGCAGCGAAAGACUACCACAGAAGAACUGAGAGCUGUCACCUCACAGCAACCCAUGGUGACAGACUCAGAGUGGUUUGGUCUGAGUGCAGAGGAACAAUUGGCCUGGGCUAAGAGUACUAAAGAUCCUCGGAUUGCAGUAGGUUCCUGUUCCCCACUAGAAAAGAAAAUUAAGGUGGCACCCAUUCUUCAGGAGUGAGAAAACUGUUAGUCCAAAAGUUCCGACAGGAGAGUGAAAUGGUCGAGAAACUUAAGACCGUGUCUCCUGACUUCCGGUUUGCUCAAGCAGACGCCUACUACUAUCAACAGCAUCAGGAAAUGAUCAGAGAAGCAUGGAAUUAUAAACCAGAGGCAGAAUGGGACGCUAACCCAGAGGAAGAGAUGAAGCCAAAAAGCAAAAAACCAGAGAACUGUAAAAAAUGGGACUAUCUAGUACCCGAGAGGGAGCUGAAUCACAUAGAGAAACACAUCCACAGAGCUGAGCGGGCUAGAGGCCUUAGGGACCACAAAUACCGACUAAUUCCUCAGAACCUCUCAUGUGAAAUGCUUUCCCCCAAACCAUUCGUACCAGAGGGUGAGAAGGAAAAAACUAUCCCGAGACCACACAAAACUGUACCCCAAAAGCCUAAAAUGGCCUGGGCAAAGGAGCAGAUGAAGCAACAUAAAGACCG
RNAcentral lists this long non-coding RNA (720 nucleotides) under Mus pahari (shrew mouse). RNAcentral describes it as "lncRNA (MGP_PahariEiJ_G0004182.1)". Lineage: Eukaryota; Metazoa; Chordata; Mammalia; Rodentia; Muridae. The record is from RNAcentral.